GACGGAGGGGGCAAGCGUUGUUCGGAAUUAUUGGGCGUAAAGGGCUCGUAGGCGGAUCCGCCAGUCUGACGUGAAAUCUCCACCGCUCACCGGGGAGGGGCCGUUGGAUACUACGGAUCUGGAGUUCGGCAGAGGACCAUGGAAUUCCAGGUGUAGCGGUGAAAUGCGUAGAUAUCUGGAGGAACACCGGUGGCGAAGGCGGCAUCCUGGUCCGACACUGACACUGAGGAGCGAAAGCCAGGGGAGCAAACGGG
RNAcentral lists this ribosomal RNA (254 nucleotides) under uncultured bacterium. RNAcentral's name for it is "partial 16S ribosomal RNA". It matches the Rfam family "Bacterial small subunit ribosomal RNA", at positions 524 to 776 of the family's 1533-position model. The record is from RNAcentral.